AGCGAUAGUGACGUUGCGCAUGUUCUUCCUCCUCCAAGUUUCUCCUCUUUGUCUUCUGCGGCUUGCAAAAAUGCGGCUCCUUUUGGAGCUUAAUUCAAAUCUUCCUUGUCAGGAUAAGUGGCUCCUCGCCUGCCUUCCUGCAGCGUUUCCUUACGCUUGUCUCUGGAAGGCGUUUCGUUCUACCUGCGGCUUGUAUGGCGAGUCCUCCGGCCCCUCAUCUGUUUUGACUUCCUCUGACCCCCCUUCCCGUGCUAGUGCGACUCAGGAGAUUUGGUUCCAGGGCUGGCUGAGAUGGGAAGAGCCGCGCUGCUGUGAGAGGCAUCCACUGAGCAGGUGACCCAGCCGCUGUGGGUGAGCAGGUGUGGCAUCAUUCUGGGGCUGAAAGCUGCGGAGACUUCCUGAUCGCCGGAGGCACUUGUGGCCUGAGCACGGAGCUGGCGGUGGGGACUGUGGGGUUUUGACUCCCCGCCUUCCUGAUGUUGUCAUAGCCGCCAUUCCUUGCUGGGCCUGCUCUGUGGUGUCAGUGGGUCUGGACCCAUGCUUCCAGCCCUCCGAUGCGUCCAUCAGCACUCAGUUUAUUGUAUCCCAUUCAUUACUGUUAAAAAAUAGAGUUAUGUCUUUGUGUCCUU
This is a long non-coding RNA of Carlito syrichta (Philippine tarsier), 629 nucleotides long. RefSeq lists it as uncharacterized. The record is from RefSeq and is a predicted model, not a curated record. Lineage: Eukaryota; Metazoa; Chordata; Mammalia; Primates; Tarsiidae. The transcript is spliced from 2 exons.